CUAUUCGCAUGCUAGGAUACUGCUAUACUAAGGGCGGGAGAAGUCUGAGGUACUACAGGGGUAGGGUGAAAUCUUAUAAUCCCUGUAGACCACCAGUGGCGAAGCGUCAGACUGGAACGCGCCUGACGGUGAGGGACGAAAGCCAGGGGAGCGAACCGGAUUAGAUACCCGGGUAGUCCUGGCCGUAAACGAUGCAUACUAGUGAUGGCACGGCCAUGAGCCGUGUCAGUGCCGUAGGAAACCGUUAAGUGUGCCGCCUGGGAAGUACGGUCGCAAGGCUGAAACUUGAAGGAAUUGGCGGGGGAGCACCACAAGGGGUGAAGCCUGCGGUUCAAUUGGACUCAACGCCGGGAAACUUGCCAGGGGAGACAGCAAAAUGACGGUCAGGUUGACGACCUUACCUAAUGAGCUGAAGGAGGUGCAAUGGCCGUCGCCAGUUCGUGCUGUGAGGUAUCCUGUUAAAGUCAGGCAACGAACGAGACCCGGCGCCUUUAUUUGCCAGCAAGAAGUUACGAUUACGUUGGGAACAACUACAGGGACCGCCGUCGAUAAGACGGACGGAAGGAGCGGGCAAAGG
Molecule: ribosomal RNA, 577 nt
Filed under: uncultured archaeon
Lineage: Archaea
Description: bacterial SSU rRNA
Rfam family: Archaeal small subunit ribosomal RNA
Source: RNAcentral